GAUGAAGAACGCAGCGAAAUGCGAUAAGUAAUGUGAAUUGCAGAAUUCAGUGAAUCAUCGAAUCUUUGAACGCACAUUGCGCCCGCCAGUAUUCUGGCGGGCAUGCCUGUUCGAGCGUCAUUACAACCCUCAGGCCCCCGGGCCUGGCGUUGGGGAUCGGCGGAAGCCCCCUGCGGGCACAACGCCGUCCCCCAAAUACAGUGGCGGUCCCGCCGCAGCUUCCAUUGCGUAGUAGCUAACACCUCGCAACUGGAGAGCGGCGCGGCCACGCCGUAAAACACCCAACUUCUGAAUGUUGACCUCGAAUCAGGUAGGAAUACCCGCUGAACUUAAGCAUAUCAAUAAGGAGGA
Molecule: unclassified non-coding RNA, 351 nt
Filed under: soil metagenome
Description: partial contains 5.8S ribosomal RNA, internal transcribed spacer 2, and large subunit ribosomal RNA
Rfam family: 5.8S ribosomal RNA (bases 1-120)
Source: RNAcentral